UACGAAGGGGGCUAGCGUUGCUCGGAAUCACUGGGCGUAAAGGGUGCGUAGGCGGGUCUUUAAGUCCGUGGUGAAAUCCUGGAGCUCAACUCCAGAACUGCCUUUGAUACUGAAGAUCUUGAGUUCGGGAGAGGUGAGUGGAACUGCGAGUGUAGAGGUGAAAUUCGUAGAUAUUCGCAAGAACACCAGUGGCGAAGGCGGCUCACUGGCCCGAUACUGACGCUGAGGCACGAAAGCGUGGGGAGCAAACAGG
RNAcentral lists this ribosomal RNA (253 nucleotides) under uncultured bacterium. RNAcentral describes it as "partial 16S ribosomal RNA". It matches the Rfam family "Bacterial small subunit ribosomal RNA", at positions 524 to 776 of the family's 1533-position model. The record is from RNAcentral.